UACGUAGGGGGCAAGCGUUGUCCGGAUUUAUUGGGCGUGAAGAGCGUGUAGGCGGCCGUGUAGGUCCGUUGUGAAAACUCGAGGCUCAACCUCGAGACGUCGAUGGAAACCACACGGCUAGAGUCCGGAAGAGGAGAGUGGAAUUCCUGGUGUAGCGGUGAAAUGCGCAGAUAUCAGGAAGAACACCUAUGGCGAAGGCAGCUCUCUGGGACGGUACUGACGCUGAGACGCGAAAGCGUGGGGAGCGAACAGG
RNAcentral lists this ribosomal RNA (253 nucleotides) under uncultured bacterium. Its description in RNAcentral is "partial 16S ribosomal RNA". It matches the Rfam family "Bacterial small subunit ribosomal RNA", at positions 524 to 776 of the family's 1533-position model. The record is from RNAcentral.